RNAcentral lists this unclassified non-coding RNA (335 nucleotides) under soil metagenome. RNAcentral's name for it is "partial contains 5.8S ribosomal RNA, internal transcribed spacer 2, and large subunit ribosomal RNA". The stretch from base 1 to 120 matches the Rfam family "5.8S ribosomal RNA", at positions 35 to 154 of the family's 154-position model. The record is from RNAcentral.
GAUGAAGAACGCAGCGAAAUGCGAUAAGUAAUGUGAAUUGCAGAAUUCAGUGAAUCAUCGAAUCUUUGAACGCACAUUGCGCCCGCCAGUAUUCUGGCGGGCAUGCCUGUUCGAGCGUCAUUUCAACCAUCAAGCCCCCGGGCUUGUGUUGGGGACCUGCGGCUGCCGCAGGCCCUAAAAACCAGUGGCGGGCUCGCUAGUCACUCCGAGCGUAGUAGUUACAUCUCGCUCAGGGCGUGCUGCGGGUUCCGGCCGUUAAAAGCCUUUUACCCCAAGGUUGACCUCGGAUCAGGUAGGAAGACCCGCUGAACUUAAGCAUAUCAAUAAGCGGAGGA